UACGAAGGGGGCUAGCGUUGCUCGGAAUCACUGGGCGUAAAGCGCACGUAGGCGGAUUGCUAAGUCAGGGGUGAAAUCCUGGAGCUCAACUCCAGAACUGCCCUUGAUACUGGCGGUCUCGAGUCCGGGAGAGGUGAGUGGAACUGCGAGUGUAGAGGUGAAAUUCGUAGAUAUUCGCAAGAACACCGGUGGCGAAGGCGGCCACCUGGACGGUAACUGACGCUGAGACGCGAAAGCGUGGGGAGCAAACAGG
RNAcentral lists this ribosomal RNA (253 nucleotides) under uncultured bacterium. RNAcentral's name for it is "partial 16S ribosomal RNA". It matches the Rfam family "Bacterial small subunit ribosomal RNA", at positions 524 to 776 of the family's 1533-position model. The record is from RNAcentral.